GUUGUAGACUUAAAGUUGGGUCAGGAAAUUUUCUGCGCUAUAGAUCCUUGGCACUGAGUUGUGAUGAUGCUAAAUUUACUGACCUAUAUUCAAAUUGGACUUCUCUGGCUAUGCUUGUCUGAGGGUGCUUCAUAGCAGCCUUUUCUUUGGGGACUUAGACAUUAUUGUGAAUACACUCUCUCAGCUUCUGAAUUGUAAAUAUAUAAAUAGAAUAAUAGAUAGAUUAGACAUUUAUAUG
Molecule: unclassified non-coding RNA, 238 nt
Filed under: Hevea brasiliensis (rubber tree)
Lineage: Eukaryota; Viridiplantae; Streptophyta; Magnoliopsida; Malpighiales; Euphorbiaceae
Source: RNAcentral